Clupea harengus (Atlantic herring) is the source of this 576-nucleotide long non-coding RNA. Lineage: Eukaryota; Metazoa; Chordata; Actinopteri; Clupeiformes; Clupeidae. The record is from Ensembl.
UAGUAUUGAGGAGGUGUGGUAGUAUUGAGGAGGUGUGGUAGUAUUGGGGAGGAGUGAUAGUAUUGAGGAGGUGUGGUAGUAUUGAGGAGGUGUGGUAGUAUUGGGGAGGAGUGAUAGUAUUGGGGAGGUGUGAUAGUAUUGGGGAGGUGUGGUAGUAUUGGGCUUCUGUGCUGAGAGUUUCUUUGAUGAGUUUGGUUGGUGAGCUAUAUCGAUGCUCUUCUCUAUCUUCCUCAGAAGUGAGAGGCUGAUAUAUUUGUGCUGUCUACAUUUUGGGACAUUUGUACUAAACUGUACUGUUGGCUGUACAUAUACAGCUGUUUGUAAAUAUUUAUUGUUUCAAUUUAUAUAAUUAAUCUUUUUGUUUAUUUUUCACAUUCUUGGAUUAUGUACCUGGUGGAGGACACAUUCAUUUCCAACCACAGAGUUUUUGUCUCCCUGCUGCCUUUUGUGCUUACCCUAAAAGACUCUUGACACGGUGACCCUUUGACAGAGUGUUGAGCAGAUGUAUGUGGAUGCAUUGGCUAAAGACACUGGUACCAUGGUGUGACACUGUGAUAUCUGACCCUUUCCUGCAAG